ACGUUCAGCAGGGGUGCAGCACCACGAUCAUCUCUAUAAAAAAUGGCCACUAAUCCUUGAAAUAUUGUGGUAAACUGAAGUUACCAAUUAGAAGUCAUUACUCAAACACCUCUAAAGUUCUGGAUUUCUACAGGACCACAAUCCCACAAGAAUACCCUCCACCAUCAAUGUCGAAUAUCAUAAAUAUAAGUAUUUCUGACACCAGGUUUGAAAUUUUGCACAAUUUCUUUAUUUUGAAUUUAAUAUAUUCAUUACGAUUA
Long non-coding RNA from Dalotia coriaria, 260 nucleotides. RefSeq lists it as uncharacterized. Lineage: Eukaryota; Metazoa; Arthropoda; Insecta; Coleoptera; Staphylinidae. The transcript is spliced from 2 exons. The record is from RefSeq and is a predicted model, not a curated record.